This is a long non-coding RNA of Triticum dicoccoides, 312 nucleotides long. RefSeq lists it as uncharacterized. The record is from RefSeq and is a predicted model, not a curated record. The transcript has 4 exons. Lineage: Eukaryota; Viridiplantae; Streptophyta; Magnoliopsida; Poales; Poaceae.
UGUACUUCGCCUUCUAGUGUUAUUUUCCCUUACAAAUGCUGGGUUGCCCAAGAAGAAUUUUGACUACUUGAGGCGGGAAAUACUGCACAGUUAUGGCUUUGAGCACAUGCCCUUGUUAUACAAUCUGGAAAAAGCUGGCCUUGUUAAAAGGCAGGAAUCAAGGACUAAUUGGCCUGUUAUUAGCAGAGCUCUCCAGCUUAUAGUUGAUAUAAAGGAUCCUGAAAACCCUGAUGAUAUAGCAUACAUCUUUGCUGGAUAUGCACCUCUUAGUAUUCGCCUGGUUCAGCAUGCAGUGAGGUCCGGAUGGUAAGU